UGGGGAAUUUUGGACAAUGGGCGAAAGCCUGAUCCAGCAAUGCCGCGUGUGUGAAGAAGGCCUUCGGGUUGUAAAGCACUUUUGUCCGGAAAGAAAUCCUUGGCUCUAAUACAGUCGGGGGAUGACGGUACCGGAAGAAUAAGCACCGGCUAACUACGUGCCAGCAGCCGCGGUAAUACGUAGGGUGCAAGCGUUAAUCGGAAUUACUGGGCGUAAAGCGUGCGCAGGCGGUUUGCUAAGACCGAUGUGAAAUCCCCGGGCUCAACCUGGGAACUGCAUUGGUGACUGGCAGGCUAGAGUAUGGCAGAGGGGGGUAGAAUUCCACGCGUAGCAGUGAAAUGCGUAGAGAUGUGGAGGAAUACCGAUGGCGAAGGCAGCCCCCUGGGCCAAUACUGACGCUCAUGCACGAAAGCGUGGGGAGCAAACAGGAUUAGAUACCCUGGUAGUCCACGCCCUAAACGAUGUCAACUAGUUGUUGGGGAUUCAUUUCCUUAGUAACGUAGCUAACGCGUGAAGUUGACCGCCUGGGGAGUACGGUCGCAAGAUU
This 547-nucleotide ribosomal RNA is filed under the name uncultured bacterium. RNAcentral's name for it is "partial 16S ribosomal RNA". It matches the Rfam family "Bacterial small subunit ribosomal RNA", at positions 355 to 895 of the family's 1533-position model. The record is from RNAcentral.